GAUGAACGCUGGCGGCGUGCCUAAUACAUGCAAGUCGAGCGAACGGACGAGAAGCUUGCUUCUCUGAUGUUAGCGGCGGACGGGUGAGUAACACGUGGAUAACCUACCUAUAAGACUGGGAUAACUUCGGGAAACCGGAGCUAAUACCGGAUAAUAUUUUGAACCGCAUGGUUCAAAAGUGAAAGACGGUCUUGCUGUCACUUAUAGAUGGAUCCGCGCUGCAUUAGCUAGUUGGUAAGGUAACGGCUUACCAAGGCAACGAUGCAUAGCCGACCUGAGAGGGUGAUCGGCCACACUGGAACUGAGACACGGUCCAGACUCCUACGGGAGGCAGCAGUAGGGAAUCUUCCGCAAUGGGCGAAAGCCUGACGGAGCAACGCCGCGUGAGUGAUGAAGGUCUUCCGAUCGUAAAACUCUGUUAUUAGGGAAGAACAUAUGUGUAAGUAACUGUGCACAUCUUGACGGUACCUAAUCAGAAAGCCACGGCUAACUACGUGCCAGCAGCCGCGGUAAUACGUAGGUGGCAAGCGUUAUCCGGAAUUAUUGGGCGUAAAGCGCGCGUAGGCGGUUUUUUAAGUCUGAUGUGAAAGCCCACGGCUCAACCGUGGAGGGUCAUUGGAAACUGGAAAACUUGAGUGCAGAAGAGGAAAGUGGAAUUCCAUGUGUAGCGGUGAAAUGCGCAGAGAUAUGGAGGAACACCAGUGGCGAAGGCGACUUUCUGGUCUGUAACUGACGCUGAUGUGCGAAAGCGUGGGGAUCAAACAGGAUUAGAUACCCUGGUAGUCCACGCCGUAAACGAUGAGUGCUAAGUGUUAGGGGGUUUCCGCCCCUUAGUGCUGCAGCUAACGCAUUAAGCACUCCGCCUGGGGAGUACGACCGCAAGGUUGAAACUCAAAGGAAUUGACGGGGACCCGCACAAGCGGUGGAGCAUGUGGUUUAAUUCGAAGCAACGCGAAGAACCUUACCAAAUCUUGACAUCCUUUGACAACUCUAGAGAUAGAGCCUUCCCCUUCGGGGGACAAAGUGACAGGUGGUGCAUGGUUGUCGUCAGCUCGUGUCGUGAGAUGUUGGGUUAAGUCCCGCAACGAGCGCAACCCUUAAGCUUAGUUGCCAUCAUUAAGUUGGGCACUCUAAGUUGACUGCCGGUGACAAACCGGAGGAAGGUGGGGAUGACGUCAAAUCAUCAUGCCCCUUAUGAUUUGGGCUACACACGUGCUACAAUGGACAAUACAAAGGGCAGCGAAACCGCGAGGUCAAGCAAAUCCCAUAAAGUUGUUCUCAGUUCGGAUUGUAGUCUGCAACUCGACUACAUGAAGCUGGAAUCGCUAGUAAUCGUAGAUCAGCAUGCUACGGUGAAUACGUUCCCGGGUCU
Molecule: ribosomal RNA, 1372 nt
Filed under: uncultured bacterium
Lineage: Bacteria
Description: bacterial SSU rRNA
Rfam family: Bacterial small subunit ribosomal RNA
Source: RNAcentral